RNAcentral lists this ribosomal RNA (590 nucleotides) under Acinetobacter sp. 174. RNAcentral describes it as "bacterial SSU rRNA". It matches the Rfam family "Bacterial small subunit ribosomal RNA", at positions 121 to 705 of the family's 1533-position model. The record is from RNAcentral. Lineage: Bacteria; Pseudomonadati; Pseudomonadota; Gammaproteobacteria; Moraxellales; Moraxellaceae.
GGAAUCUGCCUAUUAGUGGGGGACAACAUUCCGAAAGGAAUGCUAAUACCGCAUACGUCCUACGGGAGAAAGCAGGGGAUCUUCGGACCUUGCGCUAAUAGAUGAGCCUAAGUCGGAUUAGCUAGUUGGUGGGGUAAAGGCCUACCAAGGCGACGAUCUGUAGCGGGUCUGAGAGGAUGAUCCGCCACACUGGGACUGAGACACGGCCCAGACUCCUACGGGAGGCAGCAGUGGGGAAUAUUGGACAAUGGGGGGAACCCUGAUCCAGCCAUGCCGCGUGUGUGAAGAAGGCCUUAUGGUUGUAAAGCACUUUAAGCGAGGAGGAGGCUACUGAGACUAAUACUCUUGGAUAGUGGACGUUACUCGCAGAAUAAGCACCGGCUAACUCUGUGCCAGCAGCCGCGGUAAUACAGAGGGUGCGAGCGUUAAUCGGAUUUACUGGGCGUAAAGCGUGCGUAGGCGGCUUUUUAAGUCGGAUGUGAAAUCCCCGAGCUUAACUUGGGAAUUGCAUUCGAUACUGGGAAGCUAGAGUAUGGGAGAGGAUGGUAGAAUUCCAGGUGUAGCGGUGAAAUGCGUAGAGAUCUGGAGGA